Molecule: unclassified non-coding RNA, 329 nt
Filed under: soil metagenome
Description: partial contains 5.8S ribosomal RNA, internal transcribed spacer 2, and large subunit ribosomal RNA
Rfam family: 5.8S ribosomal RNA (bases 1-120)
Source: RNAcentral
GAUGAAGAACGUAGCGAAAUGCGAUAAGUAGUGUGAAUUGCAGAAUUCAGUGAAUCAUCGAAUCUUUGAACGCACAUUGCGCCCCUUGGUAUUCCAUGGGGCAUGCCUGUUCGAGCGUCAUUUGUACCCUCAAGCUUUGCUUGGUGUUGGGCGUCUUGUCGUAUUACGACUCGCCUUAAUACAUUGGCAGCCGGCACUUUGGCCUAGGAGCGCAGCACAUUUUGCGAUCGUAGCCCGUUGUACUGGCGUCCAUCAAGAACAUUUACCACGUUUGACCUCGGAUCAGGUAGGGAUACCCGCUGAACUUAAGCAUAUCAAUAAGCGGAGGA